GAAUGUGAUAUUGCGACUGCAUGUUUAACGAAAGAAAAUAAAUGCGGUUUUUAUGAAAAACAAUAAAGAACGGUACUUUUUUUGUGCAAACAAAAGCACAAAACAGAAAUAUAUUAGUUUUAAAUCGGAGUUCAUUGUAAACGGAUGGAAUUAAAAUAUAUUAGAAAAGUGAAUAAAUAUAAACAAAUAUAAAGUGAAAAUUAAUUAAAUGGUAAGAAAACAAAGUGUUAUCUUACACAGUUCCACCGAGUACAAACAACAAUAGCAACGGAAGACAAUCAUGCACAAUAUCACCGACGAAUAAUUGUAAUAACAUCCAAAGAUUAUCAUGUACCGUGUAACCGACGACCAACUAUAAUAACACCCAAAGCUUAUCAUGCACAGUGUCACCGACGUCCAAAAACAGGCCACCGACGACCAAUAACAAUAGCAGUCAAUUAACAGAAAUAUUAAAUGUUUUGCGCAAAUUAGAAGGACAUAUCACAGUAUUAAAUUCGAAAGUUGACCGCCUCACUGUUGAGGUUAUUUCCAUAAGAAGUGAGGUUUCGACAAUUAAAA
Lucilia cuprina (Australian sheep blowfly) is the source of this 558-nucleotide long non-coding RNA. RefSeq lists it as uncharacterized. The record is from RefSeq and is a predicted model, not a curated record. NCBI's taxonomy places the organism in Eukaryota, Metazoa, Arthropoda, Insecta, Diptera, Calliphoridae. The transcript has 2 exons.